Aplysia californica (California sea hare) is the source of this 1227-nucleotide long non-coding RNA. RefSeq lists it as uncharacterized. The record is from RefSeq and is a predicted model, not a curated record. The transcript is spliced from 2 exons. Lineage: Eukaryota; Metazoa; Mollusca; Gastropoda; Aplysiida; Aplysiidae.
CUAUCUAUCUAUCUAUCUUUGUUCCUGUCUAUUUGUCUGCCUGCCUGCUUGCUGCCUGACCGUGCAUUGAUCUAUAGUUUUUAAAAUGACUACUGGUCUUUUGUCUGCUUCUUUAGUUUUUUGUACGAAACAGUCCGCAUGGCUUUUUAUUCAUUUUCGUUUCGAACGCUUGCUUGUCCAAGUCAAUUCCCUCAAGUCUAACCCUCUUAACUUUAGCUUCCUUCUCGUAAGUAUAUAUUUUCUAUUGCCUGACUUGAUCUUUUGUGUUUUUAUUCAUUUCGCUAGGUAUCGUGCCCAGCUUUCUGAGGACUCAAGAGAAAUUCAUGAGCUGUGAUGUUUUCAAUUAUCAAAAUGGAUAUUGUGGCAGUAGCACCACUGCCUCUGGUGACAUCUGCAAUAUAGUCAACGACUUCAAAGCAGUGACAAUCUGGCUCUAAUGGUGACAACCGCUCACAUAGAGGCAAGUAUUUUUGUUUGUAGUAUGAAUUUAAUAGCUUUUAUGAAUCCACCGAUCUCACAAAGAUAACAACAGUAGCAACGCUAAGAAGGAAUAUAACAUCAGGACGGCGAUAACAGAGCAAAAUUCACCUGUUGUAUUGAUAUUAUGCUAGAUCUUCUUCAAGCUUUCAACAACCUAAAAAUGUCGUAGGAGACUAAAGCAGUGCUCCCGUUGGCCGAUUAAUUUGGUCCACUCACUAAAUUUCAAAGUUGGAGAAAGAGUGAAUGGCAAUUCUUCUCGUCCAGUCCAGGACAUACGUUUGAUUCUCUCAGUCUGAAGCACUGAAUGCUGCCUACCCGGGUUCGAAACCAUCUAAUCUGUACGUGGAAGACCAUUACUGCCCUGCUGUCGAAAGUACAACACGCUUCACGAGAGGACAUUUUUGGGAAAGCAGUUACCCCAGCAGAGCUCUGUCAAAAACAACCGGACAGGAACUUUAUUUGGGCAGCAGUUACAUUGGACAGGAAGGAGAAGAAGACCAAACUUGAACAACCACCAAGUACCCAUGAAGAAAUAGCUGCACCAGCAUUAGAAACAGUUACACAUACAUAUACACAAUGACAAUGUAGGAAAUAUUUCAAUUUACCAUGGGAAACAGUCUCUCGCGGUUUGUAUACCGUAACCUAGAACUCCCUGGAUAUUACCAAAACAACUAGAAACAACUAUCAGACCAACAGCAGCAGCAGCAGCAACAACACCGACAACGACGACAACGGCAGCAAUAGCAA